Molecule: long non-coding RNA, 315 nt
Organism: Syngnathus acus (greater pipefish)
Lineage: Eukaryota; Metazoa; Chordata; Actinopteri; Syngnathiformes; Syngnathidae
Exons: 2
Source: RefSeq, a predicted model, not a curated record
GUUUCGGUCCUGAUUGGCGAACAUGUCGGCGAUCACCUGAUCCGCCGCUAUCCCGGGCUUUAGGCGACCUUUGCCCUCCGACACCUGCAGCUUGAUGAAUUCGGCAAACUGCGGAAACGCCGCGCAGGAGCUAUUCUACAGGAAGUGGUGGUACGUCAAAAUGGCUGCCCAUCACCUCUUCCUGUGGUACAGCUGCGUCCUUGUUGACGUCCAUGGCCUGGAACAAAUCUUCAGGUGUGUCCUGCAGCCACACGAAAAGGUAACCGGGCGGCACGCCCUUCUGCACGCCUACCAUCUCAAUCUCAAACACCAGCA